AGAGUUUGAUCCUGGCUCAGGAUGAACGCUGGCGGCGUGCUUAACACAUGCAAGUCGAACGGAAAGGCCGAAGCUUGCUUCGGUACUCGAGUGGCGAACGGGUGAGUAACACGUGGGUGAUCUGCCCUGCACUUUGGGAUAAGCCUGGGAAACUGGGUCUAAUACCAGAUAGGACCACGUCUUGGAUGGUGUGGUGGAAAGUUUUUUCGGUGUGGGAUGAGCUCGCGGCCUAUCAGCUUGUUGGUGGGGGUAAUGGCCUACCAAGGCGUCGACGGGUAGCCGGCCUGAGAGGGUGUACGGCCACAUUGGGACUGAGAUACGGCCCAGACUCCUACGGGAGGCAGCAGUGGGGAAUAUUGCACAAUGGGCGCAAGCCUGAUGCAGCGACGCCGCGUGGGGGAUGACGGCCUUCGGGUUGUAAACUCCUUUCGCCAGGGACGAAGCGUCAGUGACGGUACCUGGAUAAGAAGCACCGGCUAACUACGUG
Molecule: ribosomal RNA, 487 nt
Filed under: uncultured Corynebacterium sp.
Lineage: Bacteria; Bacillati; Actinomycetota; Actinomycetes; Mycobacteriales; Corynebacteriaceae
Description: bacterial SSU rRNA
Rfam family: Bacterial small subunit ribosomal RNA
Source: RNAcentral